Molecule: non-coding RNA, 1557 nt
Organism: Sciurus carolinensis (gray squirrel)
Lineage: Eukaryota; Metazoa; Chordata; Mammalia; Rodentia; Sciuridae
Source: the annotation of a RefSeq genome assembly
ACAAGGUCUUCUGUGCCAUGCUCGCCUAGACUGGGUGGGCAGAGUGGGGCACAGUGAAGCAGGGUGGACAGAGCUGAACUGGACACUGGGCUUGGGGGGCCUAGAGCUGGCUUUCAUACCAAACCUAGCUGGGUGGGAGAGCCAGGGAGUGGUACAGAAUGUGUCCUACCUGGAGUACCAUGGGUAGGACUAUGGUGGCCUCUGAUGUGGCUUCUGUCCUCCACCCUGUGGUGUCAAGCCUCUGUGCAGAAGCCAUCUCUCUUCCCCUUGCACUCCUGCUGCAAAAGCACCACCUCUGUGACCCUGGGCUGCCUGGUCAUGGGCUACUUCCCAGAGCCGGUGACUGUGACCUGGGACACAGGCUCCUUGAACGCGAGCACCCUGAACUUCCCCACCACCCAACUCAGCUCUGGGCUCCUGGCCAGAACCAGCCAGGUGACUGUCUCCGGCACCGGCGAGUGGGCCACGAGGAGCUUCACCUGCAGCGUGGGCCACGCCCCAUCCACGCACCAGGCUAACAGGACCUUCCGAGCUUGCUUGUCCUCCAACUUCACUGGCCCCGAUGUGACGCUCUUCCAAUCAUCCUGUGACCCCACUGGGUCCCGCUCCUUCAUCCAGCUCUAUUGCCUCAUUUCUGGCUACACCCCAGGUGACCUCGUGGUCACUUGGCUGAAGGAUGGGAAGCCACUCUCCGAAGUAGCCUCAUCCACCGCCCCACCCAAGCAGGAAGGCAAGCUGGCCUCCACCCACAGCAAGAUCAACAUCACCCAGGAAGACUGGAUGUCCGAGAGCACCUUCUCCUGCCAGGUCUCCUCCCACGGCCUCACCUCCCGGGCCGACACCCAGAAGUGCCCAGAUCAGGAGCCACGAGGGAUAAGCACCUACCUGAUCCCACCCAGCCCGCUUGACCUGUAUGUCCGCAUGGCACCCAAGCUCACCUGUCUGGUGGUGGACCUGGAAAGCAAAGAGGGCGUGGAAGUGGUCUGGACCCGGGACAGCCGGAAGCCAGUGAGCCCAGACCCCUGGAAGGCCACCAAGCAGCCCAACGCCACCUUCAGCAUCACCUCCACCCUGCCAGUGGACGCCAAGGACUGGAUCGAUGGCGAGAGCUACCGCUGCAUGGUGAAGCACCCUGAGCUGCCCAAGCCCAUCAUUCGGACCCUCGCCAAGGCCCCCGGCAAGCGCAUGGUCCCCAAGGUCCACGUGUUCCUGCCGCCCGAGGAGCCGGGGAGCCAGGACAAGCUCACCCUCACCUGCCUGGUCCAGAACUUCUUCCCCAUGGACAUCUCGGUGCAGUGGCUUCGCAAUGGGCAGGUCCACAGGGACCAGCAGAGCACCACAGCGCCCCUGCGGACCCACGCCGCCCACCCCGCCUUCUUCCUCUUCAGCCGCCUGGAGGUGGCCAGGGCAGACUGGGUGCCAAGCAACACGUUCACCUGCCGCGUGGUCCACGAGGCACUGCCCGGACGCAGGACCCUGGAGGAAACCGUGUCCAGGAGCCCUGGUAAAUGAUGCCUCCCUGCCUGCCUCUCCUCCCGGGCCUCGUCCAGCAGGGGG